This 75-nucleotide transfer RNA is filed under the name Escherichia coli. Its description in RNAcentral is "tRNA-Gln". It matches the Rfam family "tRNA". From Rfam's summary of the family: Transfer RNA (tRNA) molecules are approximately 80 nucleotides in length. Their secondary structure includes four short double-helical elements and three loops (D, anti-codon, and T loops). The record is from RNAcentral. RNAcentral also lists the same sequence under 9 other names. Lineage: Bacteria; Pseudomonadati; Pseudomonadota; Gammaproteobacteria; Enterobacterales; Enterobacteriaceae.
UGGGGUAUAGCCAAGCGGUAAGGCACCGGAUUCUGAUUCCGGCAUUCCGAGGUUCGAAUCCUCGUACCCCAGCCA